UACGGGGGGAGCAAGCGUUGUUCGGAUUUACUGGGCGUAAAGGGCGCGUAGGCGGUCAGCACAAGUCAGUUGUGAAAUCUCCGGGCUUAACUCGGAAAGGUCAACUGAUACUGUGCGACUAGAGUGCAGAAGGGGCAACUGGAAUUCUCGGUGUAGCGGUGAAAUGCGUAGAUAUCAAGAGGAACACCUGCGGCGAAGGCGGGUUGCUGGGCCGACACUGACGCUGAGGCGCGAAAGCCAGGGGAGCGAACGGG
Molecule: ribosomal RNA, 254 nt
Filed under: uncultured bacterium
Lineage: Bacteria
Description: partial 16S ribosomal RNA
Rfam family: Bacterial small subunit ribosomal RNA
Source: RNAcentral